AUGACAAAUAUGGUUCGAUGGCUCUUCUCUACUAACCACAAGGAUAUUGGGACUCUCUAUUUCAUCUUCGGUGCCAUUGCAAGAGUGAUGGGCACAUGCUUCUCCGUACUGAUUCGUAUGGAAUUAGCCCGACCCGGCGAUCAAAUUCUUGGUGGGAAUCAUCAACUUUAUAAUGUUUUAAUAACGGCUCAUGCUUUUUUAAUGAUCUUUUUUAUGGUUAUGCCGGCGAUGAUAGGUGGAUUUGGUAAUUGGUUUGUUCCGAUUCUGAUAGGUGCACCUGACAUGGCAUUUCCACGAUUAAAUAAUAUAUCAUUCUGGUUGUUGCCACCAAGUCUCUUGCUCCUAUUAAGCUCAGCCUUAGUAGAAGUGGGCAGCGGCACUGGGUGGACAGUCUAUCCGCCCUUAAGUGGUAUUACCAGCCAUUCUGGAGGAGCAGUUGAUUUAGCAAUUUUUAGUCUUCAUCUAUCAGGUAUUUCAUCAAUUUUAGGUUCUAUCAAUUUUAUAACAACUAUCUUCAACAUGCGUGGACCUGGAAUGACUAUGCAUAGAUUACCACUUUUUGUGUGGUCCGUUCUAGUGACAGCAUUCCUACUUUUAUUAUCACUUCCGGUAUUGGCGGGGCAAUUACAAUGUUAUUAA
This 639-nucleotide ribosomal RNA is filed under the name Triticum aestivum (bread wheat). RNAcentral's name for it is "partial small subunit ribosomal RNA". The record is from RNAcentral. Lineage: Eukaryota; Viridiplantae; Streptophyta; Magnoliopsida; Poales; Poaceae.